UCUUUCCGUUGGUGUGGGUCCUGUGAUUCAGGCUGCCACAGACACCGCAGGGAAAGA
Molecule: microRNA precursor, 57 nt
Filed under: Cordylochernes scorpioides
Lineage: Eukaryota; Metazoa; Arthropoda; Arachnida; Pseudoscorpiones; Chernetidae
Source: RNAcentral